This 553-nucleotide ribosomal RNA is filed under the name uncultured bacterium. RNAcentral's name for it is "partial 16S ribosomal RNA". It matches the Rfam family "Bacterial small subunit ribosomal RNA", at positions 355 to 899 of the family's 1533-position model. The record is from RNAcentral.
UGGGGAAUAUUGCACAAUGGGCGCAAGCCUGAUGCAGCCAUGCCGCGUGUGUGAAGAAGGCCUUCGGGUUGUAAAGCACUUUCAGCGAGGAGGAAGGGUAGUGUGUUAAUAGCACAUUGCAUUGACGUUACUCGCAGAAGAAGCACCGGCUAACUCCGUGCCAGCAGCCGCGGUAAUACGGAGGGUGCAAGCGUUAAUCGGAAUUACUGGGCGUAAAGCGCACGCAGGCGGUUUGUUAAGUCAGAUGUGAAAUCCCCGCGCUUAACGUGGGAACUGCAUUUGAAACUGGCAAGCUAGAGUCUUGUAGAGGGGGGUAGAAUUCCAGGUGUAGCGGUGAAAUGCGUAGAGAUCUGGAGGAAUACCGGUGGCGAAGGCGGCCCCCUGGACAAAGACUGACGCUCAGGUGCGAAAGCGUGGAGAGCAAACAGGAUUAGAUACCCUGGUAGUCCACGCUGUAAAACGAUGUCGACUUGGAGGUUGUGCCCUUGAGGCGUGGCUUCCGGAGCUAACGCGUUAAGUCGACCGCCUGGGGAGUACGGCCGCAAGGUUAAAA